RNAcentral lists this ribosomal RNA (458 nucleotides) under uncultured bacterium. RNAcentral's name for it is "partial 16S ribosomal RNA". It matches the Rfam family "Bacterial small subunit ribosomal RNA", at positions 338 to 795 of the family's 1533-position model. The record is from RNAcentral.
CCUACGGGAGGCUGCAGUGGGGAAUAUUGGACAAUGGGGGAAAGCCUGAUGCAGCGACGCCGCGUGAGUGAUGAAGUAUUUCGGUAUGUAAAGCUCUAUCAGCAGGGAAGAAAUAGCGACCUUUGGGUCGCCAGACGGUACCUGUCUAAGAAGCACCGGCUCACUACGUGCCAGCAGCCGCGGUAAUACGUAGGGGGCAAGCGUUAUCCGGAUUUACUGGGUGUAAAGGGAGCGUAGAGGGCAGCACAAGGCUGAAGGGAAAUGCCGGGGCUUAACCCCGGAACUGCUUUGGAAACUGUGCAGCUAGAGUGCAGGAGAGGUAAGUGGAAUUCCUGGUGUAGCGGUGAAAUGCGUAGAUAUUAGGAGGAACACCAGUGGCGAAGGCGGCUUACUGGACUGUAACUGACGUUGAGGCUCGAAAGCGUGGGGAGCAAACAGGAUUAGAUACCCCUGUAGUC